This 256-nucleotide ribosomal RNA is filed under the name uncultured bacterium. RNAcentral describes it as "partial 16S ribosomal RNA". It matches the Rfam family "Bacterial small subunit ribosomal RNA", at positions 521 to 776 of the family's 1533-position model. The record is from RNAcentral.
UAAUACAGGGGGUGCUAGCGUUGUUCGGAAUGACUGGGCGUAAAGGGUGCGUAGGCGGCUUUGUAAGUAAGAGGUGAAAUCCCCGGGCUCAACUCGGGAACUGCUACUUAUACUGCAAAGCUUGAGUUCGAUAGAGGAAACAGGAAUUCCUGGUGUAGGGGUAAUAUCCAUAGAUAUCAGGAGGAACACCAAGUGCGAAGGCAAGUUUCUGGGUCGACACUGACGCUGAGGCACGAAAGCGUGGGUAGCAAACAGA